Molecule: transfer RNA, 72 nt
Filed under: Chiasmodon niger (black swallower)
Lineage: Eukaryota; Metazoa; Chordata; Actinopteri; Scombriformes; Chiasmodontidae
Also listed under: 1 other name
Description: tRNA-Thr
Rfam family: tRNA
About the family: Transfer RNA (tRNA) molecules are approximately 80 nucleotides in length. Their secondary structure includes four short double-helical elements and three loops (D, anti-codon, and T loops).
Source: RNAcentral
GCAUUUGUAGCUCAGUGUUAGAGCGCCAGUCUUGUAAACUGGAUGCCGGAGGUUAAAAUCCUCCCUUUUGCU